This 207-nucleotide ribosomal RNA is filed under the name uncultured bacterium. RNAcentral's name for it is "partial 16S ribosomal RNA". It matches the Rfam family "Bacterial small subunit ribosomal RNA", at positions 568 to 774 of the family's 1533-position model. The record is from RNAcentral.
AGCGCAGACGGUUGAUUAAGUCUGAUGUGAAAGCCCGGAGCUCAACUCCGGAAUGGCAUUGGAAACUGGUUAACUUGAGUGCAGUAGAGGUAAGUGGAACUCCAUGUGUAGCGGUGGAAUGCGUAGAUAUAUGGAAGAACACCAGUGGCGAAGGCGGCUUACUGGACUGUAACUGACGUUGAGGCUCGAAAGUGUGGUAGGCAAACA